Molecule: ribosomal RNA, 451 nt
Filed under: uncultured bacterium
Lineage: Bacteria
Description: bacterial SSU rRNA
Rfam family: Bacterial small subunit ribosomal RNA
Source: RNAcentral
GCUAAGAAUCUUCGGCAAUGGCCUAACGGCUGACCGAGCGACGCCGCGUGGACGAAGAAGGCCGCAAGGUUGUAAAGUCCUUUUCUCGGCGAAGAAUAAGGCAGGGAGUGGAAAGCUCUGCUGAUGACGUUAGUCGAGGAAGAAGCCCCGGCCAAUUACGUGCCAGCAGCCGCGGUAACACGUAUGGGGCGAGCGUUGUUCGGAAUUACUGGGCGUAAAGGGCGUGUAGGCGGUUCAGCAAGCCUGGUGUGAAAGUCUCCGGCCCAACCGGGGGAUUGCACUGGGAACUGCUGGGCUUGAGUUCUGGAGGGGGAGCUGGAAUUCCUGGUGUAGGGGUGAAAUCUGUAGAGAUCAGGAAGAACACCGGUGGCGAAGGCGGGCUCCUGGCCAGACACUGACGCUGAGGCGCGAAAGCGUGGGGAGCGAACAGGAUUAGAAACCCUUGUAGUCC